Molecule: ribosomal RNA, 1226 nt
Filed under: marine metagenome
Description: bacterial SSU rRNA
Rfam family: Bacterial small subunit ribosomal RNA
Source: RNAcentral
AGAGUUUGAUCAUGGCUCAGAACGUACGCUGGCGGCACGCCUAACACAUGCAAGUCGAACGAAGUAGCAAUACUUAGUGGCAGACGGGUGAGUAACAUGUAGGUAUCUGCCCUUUGGCCUGGAAUAACACGAGGAAACUUGUGCUAAUACUGGAUAAGUCUUUACGGAGAAAGCUUUAUGCACCAUUGGAUGAGCCUGCACUUGAUUAGUUUGUUGGUGGGGUAAUGGCCUACCAAGACUGUGAUCAAUAGCUGAUUGAGAGGAUGAUCAGCCACAUUGGGACUGAGACACGGCCCAAACUCCUACGGGGAGGCAGCAGUGGGGAAUCUUGCACAAUGGAGGAAACUCUGAUGCAGCGAUGCCGCGUGAGUGAAGAAGGCCUUUGGGUUGUAAAGCUCUUUCGUCGGGGAAGAAAAUGACUGUACCCGAAUAAGAAGGUCCGGCUAACUUCGUGCCAGCAGCCGCGGUAAUACGAAGGGACCUAGCGUAGUUCGGAAUUACUGGGCUUAAAGAGUUCGUAGGUGGUUGAAAAAGUUGGUGGUGAAAUCCCAGAGCUUAACUCUGGAACUGCCAUCAAAACUUUUCAGCUAGAGUAUGAUAGAGGAAAGCAGAAUUUCUAGUGUAGAGGUGAAAUUCGUAGAUAUUAGAAAGAAUACCAAUUGCGAAGGCAGCUUUCUGGAUCAUUACUGACACUGAGGAACGAAAGCAUGGGUAGCGAAGAGGAUUAGAUACCCUCGUAGUCCAUGCCGUAAACGAUGUGUGUUAGACGUUGGAAAUUUAUUUUCAGUGUCGCAGCGAAAGCGAUAAACACACCGCCUGGGGAGUACGACCGCAAGGUUAAAACUCAAAUGAAUUGACGGGGACCCGCACAAGUAGUGGAGCAUGUGGUUUAAUUCGAAGAUACGCGCAGAACCUUACCAACACUUGACAUGUUCGUCGCGACUCUAAGAGAUUAGAGUUUUCGGUUCGGCCGGACGAAACACAGGUGCUGCAUGGCUGUCGUCAGCUCGUGUCGUGAGAUGUUGGGUUAAGUCCCGCAACGAGCGCAACCCUCACUUUUAGUUGCCAUCAUUAAGUUGGGCACUCUGAAAGAACUGCCAGUGAUAAGCUGGAGGAAGGUGGGGAUGACGUCAAGUCCUCAUGGCCCUUACGUGUUGGGCUACACACGUGCUACAAUGGUAUCUACAACAGGAAGCAAGACUGCGAAGUUAAGCAAAUCCUUAAAA